CAGUAGCCACGGUAAUACGGAGGGCGCGAGCGUUACCCGGAUUUACUGGGCGUAAAGGGCGUGUAGGCGGCCUGGGGCGUCCCAUGUGAAAGGCCACGGCUCAACCGUGGAGGAGCGUGGGAUACGCUCAGGCUAGAGGGUGGGAGAGGGUGGUGGAAUUCCCGGAGUAGCGGUGAAAUGCGCAGAUACCGGGAGGAACGCCGAUGGCGAAGGCAGCCACCUGGUCCACUUCUGACGCUGAGGCGCGAAAGCGUGGGGAGCAAACCGGAUUAGAUACCCCUGUAGUCCCUGUCUCUUAUAC
RNAcentral lists this ribosomal RNA (301 nucleotides) under uncultured bacterium. Its description in RNAcentral is "partial 16S ribosomal RNA". It matches the Rfam family "Bacterial small subunit ribosomal RNA", at positions 509 to 807 of the family's 1533-position model. The record is from RNAcentral.